UGGUUGAUCCUGCCAGUAGUCAUAUGCUUGUCUCAAAGAUUAAGCCAUGCAUGUCUAAGUAUAAGCAACUAUACUGUGAAACUGCGAAUGGCUCAUUAAAUCAGUUAUCGUUUAUUUGAUAGUACUUUACUACUUGGAUAACCGUGGUAAUUCUAGAGCUAAUACAUGCUAAAAACCUCGACUUCGGAAGGGGUGUAUUUAUUAGAUAAAAAACCAAUGCCCUUCGGGGCUCCCUGGUGAUUCACAAUAACUUAACGAAUCGCAUGGCCUUGUGCCGGCGAUGGUUCAUUCAAAUUUCUGCCCUAUCAACUUUCGAUGGUAUGUUUUUGGCUUACCAUGGUUUCAACGGGUCACGAAGAAUUAGGGUUCGAUCUCGGAGAAGGAGCCUGAGAAAUGGCUACUACUUCCAAGGAAGGCAGCAGGCGCGCAAAUUACCCAAUCCCAACACGGGGAGGUAGUGACAAUAAAUACUGAUACAGGGCUCUUUUGGGUCUUGUAAUUGGAAUGAGUACAAUUUAAAUCCCUUAACGAGGAACAAUUGGAGGGCAAGUCUGGU
RNAcentral lists this ribosomal RNA (556 nucleotides) under uncultured eukaryote. Its description in RNAcentral is "SSU rRNA". It matches the Rfam family "Eukaryotic small subunit ribosomal RNA", at positions 5 to 565 of the family's 1831-position model. The record is from RNAcentral.